CAGCCGCCGCGGUAAUACAGAGGGUGCGAGCGUUAAUCGGAUUUACUGGGCGUAAAGCGUGCGUAGGCGGCUUCUUAAGUCGGAUGUGAAAUCCCUGAGCUUAACUUAGGAAUUGCAUUCGAUACUGGGAAGCUAGAGUAUGGGAGAGGAUGGUAGAAUUCCAGGUGUAGCGGUGAAAUGCGUAGAGAUCUGGAGGAAUACCGAUGGCGAAGGCAGCCAUCUGGCCUAAUACUGACGCUGAGGUACAAAAGCAUGGGGAGCAAACAGGAUUAGAUACCCCCGUAGUCCCUGUCUCUUAUAC
RNAcentral lists this ribosomal RNA (301 nucleotides) under uncultured bacterium. RNAcentral describes it as "partial 16S ribosomal RNA". It matches the Rfam family "Bacterial small subunit ribosomal RNA", at positions 509 to 807 of the family's 1533-position model. The record is from RNAcentral.